GGGUUGUGAGGUUAAGCGACUAAGCGUACACGGUGGAUGCCCUGGCAGUCAGAGGCGAUGAAGGACGUGCUAAUCUGCGAUAAGCGCCGGUAAGGUGAUAUGAACCGUUAUAACCGGCGAUUUCCGAAUGGGGAAACCCAGUGUGACUCGUCACACUAUCAUUAACUGAAUCCAUAGGUUAAUGAGGCGAACCGGGGGAACUGAAACAUCUAAGUACCCCGAGGAAAAGAAAUCAACCGAGAUUCCCCCAGUAGCGGCGAGCGAACGGGGAGGAGCCCAGAGCCUGAAUCAGCAUGUGUGUUAGUGGAAGCGUCUGGAAAGGCGCGCGAUACAGGGUGACAGCCCCGUACACAAAAGCGCAUAUGCUGUGAGCUCGAUGAGUAGGGCGGGACACGUGGUAUCCUGUCUGAAUAUGGGGGGACCAUCCUCCAAGGCUAAAUACUCCUGACUGACCGAUAGUGAACCAGUACCGUGAGGGAAAGGCGAAAAGAACCCCGGCGAGGGGAGUGAAAAAGAACCUGAAACCGUGUACGUACAAGCAGUGGGAGCCUCUUUU
This 556-nucleotide ribosomal RNA is filed under the name Salmonella enterica subsp. enterica serovar Stanleyville. RNAcentral's name for it is "partial 23S ribosomal RNA". It matches the Rfam family "Bacterial large subunit ribosomal RNA", at positions 1 to 587 of the family's 2925-position model. The record is from RNAcentral. Lineage: Bacteria; Pseudomonadati; Pseudomonadota; Gammaproteobacteria; Enterobacterales; Enterobacteriaceae.